Molecule: non-coding RNA, 72 nt
Organism: Xenopus tropicalis (tropical clawed frog)
Lineage: Eukaryota; Metazoa; Chordata; Amphibia; Anura; Pipidae
Source: Rfam
GCGCUAGUAGUGUAGGGGUAUCAUGCAAAAUUCCCAUUCUUGCGACCCGGGUUCCGAGUCCCGGCUAGUGCA